This is a long non-coding RNA of Acipenser ruthenus (sterlet), 1195 nucleotides long. RefSeq lists it as uncharacterized. The transcript is spliced from 4 exons. Lineage: Eukaryota; Metazoa; Chordata; Actinopteri; Acipenseriformes; Acipenseridae. The record is from RefSeq and is a predicted model, not a curated record.
UUCCACAGUUCCCAGUGUAGAUCCAGCGUGGGAUCGAUGUGCAAACGAGCCAUCGCCGGAGCGCACAGCAGCGUCACUAGCACGCACGCAAGCAGCAUCCUGCCAUUACAAACACACAGGGGCGUGCAGAAUUCUGAAAACUCCCUUUUCCCCGGCAACUGAUGACGCUGAUUUCUCAUUGGUGCGUUUUCAGCGUGCUCUUUAAUUCUAUUGGAUAUACCCAACAUACAAGCAGAGAACAAUCGAUCGGGGUUUGGACGAAAAUUGAAACACCUGCCAUACCACUGUCAAUGAGGUGCCAUCAUCAGCAUUCGAAGAAUGAUUGAAAACAUAAUCAAUGACUACAGUGCUGCUGGAUGGAAUCUGAAUGAGAGCGCGUUUCAGCCAGCAGGUGGCGCUGCGGUGCUGCCGUAAGCUGGAAUUCUACAGUCUGCACAGUACAAACUCACUCAAUGCCAGAAAGUUGCAUCAACUUACCAUGUCAGACUUUCGCAAGAAUAACUUGAAAAUGAGGAACCGUCAUUUCUACAAUGGCAGGCAGUGUCACCACAAAUAACCAACCAGCAGCCACAGGUGUCUUUUUUCAUCUCAGAAACUAAGAUCUCCUGAUUGUAGUGACAGUCCUGGGUAACGGAGUGAAAGCCAAGAGCUCAAACCACACACUCCCAGAGCUUGCACUGCUAUCGGCUAGAUAGGAACCAAGCGUGCAGUUUUAUCUUAAAGCAUCGGGUUAAAUCUCCGUUUCCAGCUGUUCUGCCAUUAUUUGCUACCUGUCACUUUUUGCCAAUCCCCUGCAUGCUUGCCACUGUUUUCUGUUUCUGUUCUUCAGUCAGAAAUAGCUACCCAGCUUAAAUCACGUUUAAUGUAUAAAUAUUGAUGAAGUAUGAAGACCCACUUAUUAUAAUGACUUGAAUGACAAUUAGUAUCCGUGUAAUAUGAAGGGCAGCAAUCACCGGCUGUUUUAAACACAGGUAAUGCAUAUUGCCAGAUUGAUAAGAAAACUACGCGAUGUCCUGUACUUUUUGCUUUUAUGUUUUUUGAAAAACGUGUGUUUAAUAGGUUAGUACAAAUAUACUUUAUUUUAUGUGACAGUGUCUUUAUUAUUAUUACUAUUAUUUCUUGUAGAACGGAAGAGAAGAUUGCUGCUGUUUAUAACUAUAAAUAUCCAAAUAUUCAAAAAAAUUCUGACACCUCA